Molecule: transfer RNA, 87 nt
Filed under: Sarcophilus harrisii (Tasmanian devil)
Lineage: Eukaryota; Metazoa; Chordata; Mammalia; Dasyuromorphia; Dasyuridae
Rfam family: tRNA
About the family: Transfer RNA (tRNA) molecules are approximately 80 nucleotides in length.
Source: Rfam by way of RNAcentral
GGCUCUGUGGCGCAAUGGAUAGCGCAUUGGACUUCUAGUAGAGCUGAAGGAAUUCAAAGGUUGUGGGUUCGAGUCCCACCAGAGUCG